GCUACAGAGGAAGGUGAAAAACCUCCAGGGCCUCUUCCAAUCUGCCCUGGAGGAAAAUUCCUUCCUGACCCCAAAUAUGGCGAUCAGCUGAACCCUGAGCAUAUGGGCAAGAUUCAUCAGCCAGAUAGUACAGAAAACUCUUUCCUGUCUAACUCAGAUCCCACCCCAUCUAAUAUCCCAUCACAGGCCAUUGGGCCUAUUUACCAUGAAUAUUUAAAGAUCAAUUACUUACCAA
This is a long non-coding RNA of Chelonia mydas (Green sea turtle), 235 nucleotides long. RefSeq lists it as uncharacterized. The transcript is spliced from 4 exons. The record is from RefSeq and is a predicted model, not a curated record. NCBI's taxonomy places the organism in Eukaryota, Metazoa, Chordata, Testudines, Cheloniidae.